This 622-nucleotide ribosomal RNA is filed under the name uncultured bacterium. Its description in RNAcentral is "bacterial SSU rRNA". The stretch from base 1 to 535 matches the Rfam family "Bacterial small subunit ribosomal RNA", at positions 338 to 873 of the family's 1533-position model. The record is from RNAcentral.
CCUACGGGAGGCAGCAGUAAGGAAUAUUGGUCAAUGGAGGCAACUCUGAACCAGCCAUGCCGCGUGCAGGAAGACAGCCCUCUGGGUCGUAAACUGCUUUUAUUCGGGAAUAAACCUCAUUAUGUAUAGUGAGCUGAAUGUACCGAAGGAAUAAGAAUCGGCUAACUCCGUGCCAGCAGCCGCGGUAAUACGGAGGAUCCAAGCGUUAUCCGGAUUUAUUGGGUUUAAAGGGUGCGUAGGCGGCUUUUUAAGUCAGGGGUGAAAGACGGUAGCUCAACUAUCGCAGUGCCCUUGAUACUGAAGAGCUUGAAUGGACUAGAGGUAGGCGGAAUGUGACAAGUAGCGGUGAAAUGCAUAGAUAUGUCACAGAACACCGAUUGCGAAGGCAGCUUACUAUGGUUUUAUUGACGCUGAGGCACGAAAGCGUGGGGAUCAAACAGGAUUAGAUACCCUGGUAGUCCACGCCCUAAACGAUGAAUACUCGCUGUUAGCGAUACACAGUUAGCGGCUAAGCGAAAGCGUUAAGUAUUCCACCUGGGGUAAGGUAGGUCGCGAGAGUUAGUUAACGUACGAAGAAGUUAGACGGCGUUGAGAGNGCGACGGACGACGACGAGGGAGGAGG